UUAAAUAUUUUAGCUUUAUCUCGCUAUUAUAUGGUGACAAUUGACGUUUUGGUAUGCUGAGAUGUUCACUGUUUUCUUUGCAAUUUUCUAAACACAUUCAUUUCUUGUUGGUUGUAAGUUGCUAUAGCUAAAAGAAAAUGCAUUCCCUUUGCAUGUUCAAGUUAAUUUUCCUCCUUAGUGUAGGUACUAUUAGAGUAUGAG
This 201-nucleotide long non-coding RNA is filed under the name Capsicum annuum. Its description in RNAcentral is "long non-coding RNA (CANN_LNC021812)". Lineage: Eukaryota; Viridiplantae; Streptophyta; Magnoliopsida; Solanales; Solanaceae. The record is from RNAcentral.